ACGCUCGACACCUACGGAGGCAGCAGUGGGGAAUAUUGCACAAUGGGGGAAACCCUGAUGCAGCGACGCCGCGUGAGCGAAGAAGUAUUUCGGUAUGUAAAGCUCUAUCAGCAGGGAANAAAAUGACGGUACCUGACUAAGAAGCCCCGGCUAACUACGUGCCAACAGCCGCGGUAAUCUGAGCGGGCUGGCAAGGC
This 197-nucleotide ribosomal RNA is filed under the name uncultured bacterium. Its description in RNAcentral is "partial 16S ribosomal RNA". It matches the Rfam family "Bacterial small subunit ribosomal RNA", at positions 328 to 539 of the family's 1533-position model. The record is from RNAcentral.